AUGGCUUGGUUUUCGGCUCAUCUCGUCGCCUUGUUCCUCCUCCUCCUCUCACAUCUCGCGACCCCCUCAUCGGCGACAACAACUCGGCUGGGAGCCGAUCUCCUGGGCGCGGCGCGUGCGCCUCCCUUCGAGUCAUGGCUGCGCGGCCUGCGUCGGCGCAUCCACCAGCGCCCGGAGCUGGCCUUCCAAGAGCACCGCACAAGCGAGCUCGUGCGCGCCGAGCUCGACACGCUCGGCAUCCCAUAUGUCUGGCCCGUCGCCCAGACCGGCGUCGUGGCGACCAUCAUCGGAGGCGGCGGCGGCUCCGGGCCUGUCGUUGCGCUCCGGGCCGACAUGGACGCGCUCCCCCUGCAGGAAUUGGUUGAUUGGGAGUACAAGAGCCUCGAAAGUGGCAAGAUGCAUGCUUGUGGACAUGAUGCCCAUGUGACAAUGCUUCUAGGAGCUGCCAAGCUACUUCAAUCUCGGAAAGAAGAUUUAAAGGGUACUGUCAAGCUUGUGUUCCAGCCUGCUGAAGAGGGCUACGCCGGGGCUUACUACAUUUUAAAGGAGGGUGUCCUCGAUGCCGUUGAUCCUGUCAUUGCUGCUUCCUCCGCCAUUCUCAGCCUUCAGCAACUGGUCGCCCGUGAAACCGAUCCACUCGAGUCAGCUGUGGUGUCUGUUACACAGCUGAGAGGAGGUGAUGCUUACAAUGUAAUUCCCGAAUCUGCGUCGUUUGGCGGCACCUUUCGGAGCAUGACAGAUGAAGGCCUGUCAUAUCUAAUGAAAAGGGUGAAAGAGAUCAUAGAGGCCCAGGCUGCCGUGCACCGCUGCACAGCCAUUGUCGACUUCAUGGAGGAGAAGCUAAAGCAUUACCCAGCCACCGUCAACGAUGAAGGGAUGUAUGACCAUUCCAAGGAAGUGGCCGAGGCCAUGCUCGGGGAAGCUAAUGUGAAGGUGGCUCCCCGGAGCAUGGGCGGCGAGGACUUCGCGUUCUACGCCCAGAGAGCGGCGGGCGCAUUCUUCUUCAUCGGUGUAGGUAAUGAGACCACCAUGGAUAUGGUUCGUCCGGUGCACUCCCCGCAUUUCGUCCUCGAUGAGGAUGUUCUUCCUAUUGGAGCUGCGUUUCAUGCUGCGGUUGCCAUUGAGUACCUGUGUUAG
This 1137-nucleotide ribosomal RNA is filed under the name Triticum aestivum (bread wheat). RNAcentral describes it as "partial small subunit ribosomal RNA". Lineage: Eukaryota; Viridiplantae; Streptophyta; Magnoliopsida; Poales; Poaceae. The record is from RNAcentral.